Molecule: ribosomal RNA, 510 nt
Filed under: uncultured soil bacterium
Lineage: Bacteria
Description: bacterial SSU rRNA
Rfam family: Bacterial small subunit ribosomal RNA
Source: RNAcentral
AGAUUGAACGCUGGCGGCAUGCUUUACACAUGCAAGUCGAACGGCAGCACGGGGGCAACCCUGGUGGCGAGUGGCGAACGGGUGAGUAAUGCAUCGGAACGUAUCUUUAAGUGGGGGAUAACGCAUCGAAAGAUGCGCUAAUACCGCAUAAUCUCUGAGGAGAAAAGCAGGGGAUCGCAAGACCUUGCGCUUUUUGGAGCGGCCGAUGUCUGAUUAGCUAGUUGGUGGGUAAAGGCUUAUCAAGGCUUCGAUCAGUAGCUGGUCUGAGAGGACGACCAGCCACACUGGGACUGAGACACGGCCCAGACUCUUACGGGAGGCAGCAGUGGGGAAUUUUGGACAAUGGGGGAAACCCUGAUCCAGCUAUGCCGCGUGAGUGAAGAAGGCCUCGGUUGUAAAGCUCUUCUAGACCGGAACGAAACGGUUAACGGUUAAAGUUAACCGUACGUACUACUAGACGGUAACCGGAAAGAAAGAAGACACCGGCUAACCUACGUAGCCAGACAGCCG